Molecule: long non-coding RNA, 189 nt
Organism: Suricata suricatta (meerkat)
Lineage: Eukaryota; Metazoa; Chordata; Mammalia; Carnivora; Herpestidae
Exons: 2
Source: RefSeq, a predicted model, not a curated record
AUGUUGGCUAAGUACAAGGUAUAAUCUGAAGAUACAACUGGUUGAGAAGAGAGCUCAGAAUGUUUCCAAGUUCACUCACAUGGCUGUUGUUUUUGUGAUGAUGAGAGAGGAAAAUAGAAGUGAUUAUCAUCUCCUCGAGACAUCCUAAAGGAGAAGCAAUAUUUUUGAAGUAAAAGAAAUAAAACCCUC